RNAcentral lists this ribosomal RNA (422 nucleotides) under uncultured bacterium. Its description in RNAcentral is "bacterial SSU rRNA". It matches the Rfam family "Bacterial small subunit ribosomal RNA", at positions 358 to 772 of the family's 1533-position model. The record is from RNAcentral.
GGAAUUUUGGACAAUGGGGGCAACCCUGAUCCAGCCAUGCCGCGUGUGUGAAGAAGGCCUUCGGGUUGUAAAGCACUUUCGGCCGGAACGAAAUCGCGCGAUCUAAUAAGUCAGGUGGAGGAAGGUACCGGAAACAGAAGCACCGGCUAACUACGUGCCAGCAGCCGCGGUAAUACGUAGGGUGCGAGCGUUAAUCGGAAUUACUGGGCGUAAAGUGUGCGCAGGUGGCCGCGCAAGUCGAGUGUGAAAUCCCCGAGCUUAACUUGGGAAUUGCGCUCGAAACUACGUGGCUCGAGUGUGGCAGAGGAAGGUGGAAUUCCACGUGUAGCGGUGAAAUGCGUAGAGAUGUGGAGGAACACCGAUGGCGAAGGCAGCCUUCUGGGCCAACACUGACGCUCAUGCACGAAAGCGUGGGGAGCAAA